Molecule: long non-coding RNA, 1126 nt
Filed under: Cricetulus griseus (Chinese hamster)
Lineage: Eukaryota; Metazoa; Chordata; Mammalia; Rodentia; Cricetidae
Description: lncRNA (ENSCGRG00015033192.1)
Source: RNAcentral
CAGGGUGACUCAUGACACCCCAGUCUGACAUAGGAUACCCCAGGGUGACAGAAGACAAAACAGGAUGGCUCAGGAAACCCCAGGAUGACACAGGACACCCCAGGCAGACCCAGAACACCCCAGGCUGACAAAGGUCAACCCAGGAUGACACAGGACACCCCAGACAAACUCAGAACCCCCCAGGCUGACACAGGACACAACAGGAUGAAACAGGACACCCCAGGGUGACCCAGGACACCCCAGGAUUACUCAGGACACCCCAGGCUGACUCAGGACUUCCAGGGACAACUCAGGAAUCCACAGGAUGACACAGGACACCACAGGAUGAAAUGGAUACCCCAGGAUAUCACAAGACACCCCAGACUGUUACAGGACACACCAGGCUGACACAGGACACCCAAGGCUGUCGCAGGAUACACUAGGAUGACACAUGAUACCCCGGAUGACUCACGACAAUACAGGCUGACACUGGACACCCCAUGGUGACAGAGGACACUCCAGGAAUACUCAGGACAACCCAGGGUGACACUGGAGACCCAUGGAUGACACAGGACAUCCAGGCUGACUGGGGACCAUCCAGGCUGACAAAAGACACCCAAGGCUGACAGAGGACAACCCAGGAUGACACAGGACACUGCAGGAUGACAUGGACACCCGAGGAUGACACAGGACUCCCCAGGAUGACUGUGGACACCCUGCGCUGACUCUGGAUACUCCAGGAUGACUCAGGACACCCAAAGCAGACAGAGGACACCCCAGGCUGACUCAGGACACCCCAAAUGACUCAGGACACCCCUGGCUGACUUAGGACAUCCCAGGAUGACUCAGGACACAACAGGAUGACUCUGGGCACCCCAGGAUGACUCUGGGCACCCCAGCAUGACUCUGGACACGCCAGGAAGGCUUACGACACCUCAAGUGAUUCAGGACAUCCCAAGCUGACACAAGACACCCGUGGCUGACUCAGGAAACCCCAGGAUGACUCAGGAUACCCAGGGAUGACUCAGGAAACCAUUCAGGAUACCCAGUGAUGACUCAGGACUCCCCAGGAUGUCUCAGGACACCUCAGGAUGUCUCAGGACACCCCAGGUUGACACAGGACACCCCAGCCUCAUUCAGAUACCGU